UACAGAGGGUGCAAGCGUUGUUCGGAAUUACUGGGCGUAAAGGGCGCGUAGGCGGUUUAGCAAGUCAGAUGUGAAAGCCCGGGGCUCAACUCCGGAAUUGCAUUUGAAACUGCUAGGCUAGAGUGCAGUAGAGGAUGGCGGAAUACCCAGUGGAGAGGUGAAAUUCGUAGAUAUUGGGUGGAACACCGGUGGCGAAGGCGGCCAUCUGGGCUGUAACUGACGCUGAGGCGCGAGAGCGUGGGGAGCAAACAGG
Molecule: ribosomal RNA, 253 nt
Filed under: uncultured bacterium
Lineage: Bacteria
Description: partial 16S ribosomal RNA
Rfam family: Bacterial small subunit ribosomal RNA
Source: RNAcentral